RNAcentral lists this non-coding RNA (102 nucleotides) under Brevibacillus borstelensis. RNAcentral's name for it is "Guanine sequence". It matches the Rfam family "Purine riboswitch aptamer". From Rfam's summary of the family: Riboswitches are metabolite binding domains within certain messenger RNAs that serve as precision sensors for their corresponding targets. The record is from RNAcentral. Lineage: Bacteria; Bacillati; Bacillota; Bacilli; Caryophanales; Paenibacillaceae. RNAcentral also lists the same sequence under 1 other name.
AAAAGGUAAAUAAGGAAGGUUCGUAUAUUCUCGGGAAUAGGGCUCGGGAGUUUCUACGAGGUCGCCGCAAACGACCUGGCUACGAACAAGACAUCAACGGGG